This 378-nucleotide ribosomal RNA is filed under the name uncultured bacterium. RNAcentral describes it as "bacterial SSU rRNA". It matches the Rfam family "Bacterial small subunit ribosomal RNA", at positions 521 to 896 of the family's 1533-position model. The record is from RNAcentral.
UAAUACGGAGGAUGCAAGCGUUAUCCGGAAUCAUUGGGCGUAAAGCGUCCGCAGGUGGUGAUGCAAGUCUAUUGUCAAAGAGCGAGGCUCAACCUCGUCAAGGCGGUGGAAACUGCAAACACUAGAGUGCGGUAGGGGUAGAGGGAAUUCCCAGUGUAGCGGUGAAAUGCGUAGAGAUUGGGAAGAACACCGGUGGCGAAAGCGCUCUACUGGGCCUGCACUGACACUGAGGGACGAAAGCUAGGGGAGCGAAAGGGAUUAGAUACCCCUGUAGUCCUAGCCGUAAACGAUGGAUACUAGGCGUGGCUUGUAUCGACCCGAGCCGUGCCGGAGCUAACGCGUUAAGUAUCCCGCCUGGGGAGUACGCACGCAAGUGUG